RNAcentral lists this ribosomal RNA (269 nucleotides) under uncultured prokaryote. RNAcentral's name for it is "partial 16S ribosomal RNA". It matches the Rfam family "Bacterial small subunit ribosomal RNA", at positions 524 to 794 of the family's 1533-position model. The record is from RNAcentral.
UACGUAGGGGCGAGCGUUAUCCGGAAUUAUUGGGCGUAAAGGGUUCGCAGGCGGCCUUGUAAGUCAGAUGUGAAAGACAGCGGCUUAACCGUUGUAAGCAUUUGAAACUGCAGGGCUUGAGUACAGGAGAGGAAAGCGGAAUUCCUAGUGUAGCGGUGGAAUGCGUAGAUAUUAGGAGGAACACCAGUUGCGAAGGCGGCUCUCUGGACUGUAACUGACACUGAGGCACGAAAGCGUGGGGAGCAAACAGGAUUAGAUACCCGCGUAGU